AGCAGCCGCGGUAAUUCCAGCUCCAAUAGCGUAUAUUAAAGUUGUUGCAGUUAAAAAGCUCGUAGUUGAAUUUCGGGGUCAGUAGGCUGGUCGUGCCACGGGUACGUACUGGUCUCACUGAUUCCUCCUUCCUGAAGAACCGUAAUGCCAUUAAUUUGGUGUUGCGGGGAAACAGGACUGUUACUUUGAAAAAUUAGAGUGUUUAAAGCAGGCUAACGCUUGAAUACAUUAGCAUGGAAUAAUGAAAUAGGACGUUCGAUCCUAUUUUGUUGGUUUCUAGGAUUGACGUAAUGAUUAAUAGGGAUAGUUGGGGGCAUUAGUAUUCAAUUGUCAGAGGUGAAAUUCUUGGAUUUAUUGAAGACUAACUACUGCGAAAGCAUUUGCCAAGGAUGUUUUCAUUAAUCAAGAACGAAAGUUAGGGGAUCGAAGACGAUCAGAUACCGUUGUAGUCUUAACCAUAAACUAUGCCGACUAGGGAUCGGAUGAUGUUAAUUUUUAAUGACUCAUUCGGCGCCUUACG
RNAcentral lists this ribosomal RNA (520 nucleotides) under uncultured Glomus. RNAcentral's name for it is "SSU rRNA". It matches the Rfam family "Eukaryotic small subunit ribosomal RNA", at positions 569 to 1092 of the family's 1831-position model. Lineage: Eukaryota; Fungi; Glomeromycota; Glomeromycetes; Glomerales; Glomeraceae. The record is from RNAcentral.